UCUAGUUAAUUCUACUAAUAGUUAUAUACUUAUCUUAAAGAUUAAGUUAUAUAUAUCUAAGUAUAAGUAAUUAUAUAGUAAAAUUAUAAAUAGCUUAUUAUAUAAGUUAUUAUUUAUUUAAUAGUACCUUACUACUUAAAUAACUAUAGUAAUUCUAGAGCUAAUAUAUACUAAAAAUCCUAACUUUAAAAGAGAGAUAUUUAUUAGAUUAAAAACUAAUACCCUCUAGGCUCCUUAAUAAUUUAUAAUAACUUUUUAAAUUAUAUAGCCUUAUACUAGUAAUAGUUUAUUUCAAUUUCUUCUCUAUUAACUUUUAAUAUUUAGGUAUUAGCUAAAUAUAGUUAUAAUAGGUAAUAGAGGGUUAGGGCUUAACCCUAGAGAAGGAGCCUAAAAAAUAGCUACUAUAUCUAAAGAAGGUAGUAAGCAUAUAAAUUACCUAAUCCUAAUUUAGGGAGGUAGUAAUAAUAAAUACUAAUAUAAGGCUCUUUUAGGUCUUAUAAUUAAAAUAAGUAUAAUUUAAAUCUCUUAAUAAGGAAUAAUUAGAGAGUAAGUCUAGUACUAGUAGCUAUAGUAAUUCUAGCUCUAAUAAUAUAUAUUAAAGUUAUUAUAAUUAAAAAGCUUAUAGUUAAACCUUAGGCCUAGCUAGCUAGUCUACCUUACUAUAUAUACUAGUCUAGCUAGGCCUUUCCCUUUAUAAAACCUUAUACCCUUUACUAGGUAUAGUAGGGAAAUAGAACUUUUACUUUAAAAAAUUAGAGUACUCUAGGCAGGCCUAUACUUAAAUAUAUUAGUAUAGAAUAAUAAAAUAAGACAUAUAGUUCUAUUUUAUUAGUUUCUAGGACUAUUAUAAUAAUUAAUAAGGAUAGUUAGGGGCAUUAGUAUUUAAUUAUUAGAGGUAAAAUUCUUAGAUUUAUUAAAGACUAACUACUAUAAAAGUAUUUAUUAAGGAUAUUUUUAUUAAUUAGGAAUAAAAGUUAAGAGAUUAAAGAUAAUUAGAUAUUAUUAUAGUCUUAACUAUAAACUAUACUAACUAGGGAUUAGAUAAUAUUAUUUUUUAAUAUAUUUAGCACCUUAUAAGAAAUUAAAGUACUUAGGCUCUAGGGGGAGUAUAGUUAUAAGACUAAAACUUAAAGAAAUUAAUAAAAGGGUACUACUAAAGGUAGAGCCUAUAGCUUAAUUUAACUUAAUAUAAGGAAACUUACUAGGUCUAGAUAUAAUAAGGAUUAAUAGAUUAAGAGCUUUUUCUUAAUUUUAUAAGUAGUAGUAUAUAACUAUUCUUAGUUAGUAAAGUAAUUUAUCUACUUAAUUAUAAUAAUAAAUAAGACCUUAACCUACUAAAUAGCCUAUAUUACUUUAGUAAUAUACUAGCUUCUUAAAGAGACUAUUAGCUUAAGCUAAUAAAAGUUUAAGGCAAUAAUAGGUCUAUAAUACCCUUAGAUAUUCUAGGCUAUAUAUAUACUAUACUAAUAAAGCUAAUAAGUACUUCCUUAGCUAAAAGGCCUAGGUAAUCUUAUAAAACUCUAUUAUACUAGAGAUAAAGUAUUAUAAUUAUUACUCUUUAAUAAGGAAUCCCUAGUAAGUAUAAGUUAUUAGCUUAUAUUAAUUAUAUCCCUACCCUUUAUAUAUAUUACUUAUUACUACUACUAAUUAAAUAGCUUAGUAAGGCGUCUAGACUAGCCUAAGGAGGUAAGUAACUACCCCUUAGGGCUAGAAAGCUUUCUAAACUUAGUUAUUUAGAGGAAGUAAAAGUUAUAAUAAGGUCUCUAUUAAUAAACUAGUAAAGG
This 1784-nucleotide ribosomal RNA is filed under the name Beauveria bassiana. RNAcentral describes it as "SSU rRNA". It matches the Rfam family "Eukaryotic small subunit ribosomal RNA". The record is from RNAcentral. Lineage: Eukaryota; Fungi; Ascomycota; Sordariomycetes; Hypocreales; Cordycipitaceae.